This 253-nucleotide ribosomal RNA is filed under the name uncultured bacterium. Its description in RNAcentral is "partial 16S ribosomal RNA". It matches the Rfam family "Bacterial small subunit ribosomal RNA", at positions 524 to 776 of the family's 1533-position model. The record is from RNAcentral.
UACGAAGGGGGCGAGCGUUGUUCGGAAUUACUGGGCGUAAAGGGCGCGUAGGCGGUCCUUCAAGUCAGGCGUGAAAGCCCCGGGCUCAACCUGGGAAUUGCAUUCGAGACUGAAUAGCUAGGGUACGGUAGAGGGAAGUGGAAUUUCCGGUGUAGCGGUGAAAUGCGUAGAUAUCGGAAGGAACAUCAGUGGCGAAAGCGACUUCCUGGACCAGUACCGACGUUCAGGCACGAAAGCGUGGGGAGCAAACAGG